GGGUAGGUACCGAAGUGGUCAAACGGGGCAGACUGUAAAUCUGCUGGCUUACGCCUUCAAAGGUUCGAAUCCUUUCCUGCCCACCA
Molecule: transfer RNA, 86 nt
Filed under: Roseibacillus sp.
Lineage: Bacteria; Pseudomonadati; Verrucomicrobiota; Verrucomicrobiia; Verrucomicrobiales; Verrucomicrobiaceae
Description: tRNA-Tyr
Rfam family: tRNA
About the family: Transfer RNA (tRNA) molecules are approximately 80 nucleotides in length. Their secondary structure includes four short double-helical elements and three loops (D, anti-codon, and T loops).
Source: RNAcentral